Molecule: long non-coding RNA, 2584 nt
Organism: Drosophila pseudoobscura
Lineage: Eukaryota; Metazoa; Arthropoda; Insecta; Diptera; Drosophilidae
Exons: 2
Source: RefSeq, a predicted model, not a curated record
UUCAAUUUGAGUCGCAUAAACAUUUUAAUUGUUUGUCUCCAAUUUAGCUGCCACAACACGAAUGAACAAGCAAACACAUGUUCCAGGGGUAAGGGAGUGAGAUCUCUCGUUCCGGGCUCCUUUUAACCAUAACCAUAUACGUAUAUGCCACAUAUGUACUGGGAUUCAGAUUAACGCUUCAGGCACGCUCCAGGCAUCUUUGGCUUCAGAGUUGGGGGCCGCCUGUUCCAUGAAUUUCAAUUCGCGGUGCUGCUGCAUCCACCCCGCUCUCUGCUCAUUUAUGCCACAAAGCGUAAGCAAACUUUCAAGACGGCAAUAAAAUCGCAAGACGCCAUGUUUAACUGCCGCACAACUUCCGUAACCACUAAAUUCACAUGGCGCACAUCCUUCCCAUACAUUUAGCAUCCUAUUUGCAUAUGCCUGAGGGAUAAAGGAGCCGGAACUGAAGCUCGAGCGGAAUCUGAAGGAUGGCGUGCGGCUUCCUUGUCAUAUUUCCAUUAGCAUUUGCCAUUUAACUCAUCAUGUGAGUGCGAAUGUGUAUCUCUCUGUAUCUCUGGGUGGGCGGAUAAGUGUAUCAUCUUGCCUUGGCGCAUUUAUUGCCCAUAUUUGAACAUCCGGCUUUUAUCCUUUCGCUCCACGCAUCCUGGCGCGCGCCGUAAUUGCUUGCUGCCUUUAGCGCCUCGGCUCGCCUAUUGUCGUGGGUAGCGAAAACUUUAUUACUUCCAUUGUUCGACGGUGUUGUGGUUGUCGUGGCUGUCGUGGCGUAUGGGUAAUGACUGGCAAGUGGCAAAUAUGCCACAUUCAAAGGGAGCUCUAAUACAAUAUUCAACGGUAUCUAAUACGACGUUCAAAGAGUGCUCAUACGAUAUUCAAAGUUUUAUCUGACACGAUAUUUAGUUAACAUGCCGGGAUAAAUCGAAUUCUUCUUAUAUCAAUAUCGUAUCCCUGCAUUAAUGCAUUUUGUAGUCCUUUUAGCACGGUGAUAAGCACCUUCGAUAUACGAAAGAAAACUCUCGCGAUUCUUAAAACAGUGAACCAGCAUCGACAGUUUCCAUUGAUUCGUUGUAAAGAACUUAACCUCGAAACCGAAUGAAAUAAACGCACUGCAAUGAAGCUACUGAUUGUUGAACUCUUGAACUGUAUCGGGACUUGAUAGAAACGCAAUCAAAUAAUUGCGCAAAGUGUGCCACAAUCAAAUAUAGCAACAAAUUAACCAAACGCCAACACCACCAAACAUUCUCCUACUGCAAAUCGAUAAAGCCCCAAAGAGAGGAGAACUGAGAGAGGGAGAUAGAUGGAAAAACCACAGAGAAAAUAUUAUAGAAUUAUCCAGUUGGUGGGGAUGGAUCGGGCAGACCGAAAAGCGAUAAGUUUACAAUUGCUUAUGACUUCAAUUAAUCUGUGAAAGCGCCUACGCAGGCAGGCAAGCGGCCAUACGACCAGGCGGUGGUGGUGGUGGAGGUGGGGGCGAAGGCGGAGGCGGAGGAAAGCAGUCAGGCAAUCGAUGUCUGGACGGAGAAUUCUUCUGCACGAAAAUAGAAAUUGCAAUUGAACUUCGGAAAAAAAAACUGGCUGUGGUCUGGCUUUGGGUCGGGCUCCACAGCUACAGCUAAGCUACAGCUACAGCUACAACCUCAACAUAAGGUUCGGGUCUCAGACCGCAAACGCAGCCGCCGCAAGACAAUUUGACCUGAAACUUCAUUGAAGAUGUGCCCGGGGUCUAGCCUCCAGUACGCGUCCGAUGCAGUCUUUGAAGAGAACCUCAGAGCCUAAAAGAAAACGGUAAAUGACUAAGUCAUUGGCCAACUCCCAGGCACAAUGAUGACGAUGUUGCUGAUGAUGAGGAAGAAGGUGCAGACGAUGAUUGUGAUCACGAUCAUUAUAAUUAUUUGACUUUGGCAUUAUUAUCAAAAUGGAAUCGCAUGCAUGUCCAUGUCCACGUCGCUCUAUGGGUGGGAGACUGGGAACUUGAACUCGCACGCAUCUGCAGAUGCACCCAGGAUGGAACCAGAGCUUAGCCCUAUUUCACACACCCACGCGGAUGGUAUGGGAUGGGAUGGAAGGAGAUGGGGACACACACGGGACAGGUUCCAGUGGAGAGCAUUCAUAUAUUUGUAACAAUUUUUAGCCAUCUCUCUUUUUCAUCUGUUAUAAUUUUUUGCAGGUGUCUGAAUCCUUUUGCCGCUUCAUUUUCAAUUUACGCAAAUGGAAUCCAAUUCGAGUCGGAAAAUGAUCUUCCGAUGUGGCGUACACACAUGAGGCACUCGCCAGGUGCUCAAAUUGCCACAGGUACGGGGCCGAAAUUCAAACAACAGCCACAGGAAGGGGUUAUGGUUAUCCGAGCAAAGUUCAUGGCCAGUGGACGUGUGUGUUCAGAUGCAUCUUCAUCUCGAUUGCAGGCCGCUCAGCAGCUGUGCGGUAGCCUCUGCUGACCACUUGGAUUAUUUUGGUCAGCCACUGGUUCGGUGGAUCUACGGAUGUCAUUUGUGGCACCUUUGAACUCCUCACGCGCCUCCUGGAAAUCAUGAAAGCGCCGCAUCUAACACGGAAAGUGCUGUUUGUUCAAAGAAAAUUGAAAAGUUGA